RNAcentral lists this ribosomal RNA (421 nucleotides) under uncultured bacterium. RNAcentral's name for it is "partial 16S ribosomal RNA". It matches the Rfam family "Bacterial small subunit ribosomal RNA", at positions 359 to 773 of the family's 1533-position model. The record is from RNAcentral.
CAUUUUGGACAAUGGGGUCAACCCUGAUCCAUCUAUCCCGCGUGUGCGAUGAAGGCCUUCGGGUUGUAAAUCACUUUUGGCAGGGAAAAAAAGGAUCUGGCUAAUACCUGGCGCUGCUGACGGUACCUGCAGAAUAAGCACCGGCUAACUCCGUGCCAGCAGCCGCGGUAAUACGUAGGGUGCAAUCGUUAACCGGAAUUACUGGGCGUAAAGCGUGCGCAGGCGGUACGGCAAGAAGGAUGUGAAAUCCCAGGGCUUAACCUUGGAACUGCAUUCUUAACUGCCGGGCUAGAGUAUGUCAGAGGGGGGUAGAAUUCCGCGUGUAGCAGUGAAAUGCGUAGAGAUGCGGAGGAAUACCGAUGGCGAAGGCAGCCCCCUGGGAUAAUACUGACGCUCAUGCACGAAAGCGUGGGGAGCAAAC